Molecule: transfer RNA, 78 nt
Filed under: Rhodoplanes serenus
Lineage: Bacteria; Pseudomonadati; Pseudomonadota; Alphaproteobacteria; Hyphomicrobiales; Nitrobacteraceae
Also listed under: 1 other name
Description: tRNA-Ala(cgc)
Source: RNAcentral
GCAGGCUUGGAAUGAUCGGUGUUCAUGGCUGUCUCGCGUGCACCUUGCCGUUUCACGUUCGGCGUCGUGGGGCCGGCC